Molecule: ribosomal RNA, 108 nt
Filed under: uncultured bacterium
Lineage: Bacteria
Description: partial 16S ribosomal RNA
Rfam family: Bacterial small subunit ribosomal RNA
Source: RNAcentral
CGGGCCUUGUACACACCGCCCGUCACGCCAUGGGAGUUGAUCUUACCCAAAGCCGGUGAGCUAACCUUCGGGAGGCAGCCGACCACGGUGGGGUUAAUGACUGGGGCG